ACGCUCGACACCUACGGAGGCAGCAGUGGGGAAUAUUGGGCAAUGGAGGCAACUCUGACCCAGCAACGCCGCGUGAAUGAUGAAGGUCUUCGGAUUGUAAAGUUCUGUGACGGGGGACGAACACAAUGACGGUACCCCGAUAGCAAGCCACGGCUAACUACGUGCCAACAGCCGCGGUAAUCUGAGCGGGCUGGCAAGGC
This 200-nucleotide ribosomal RNA is filed under the name uncultured bacterium. RNAcentral's name for it is "partial 16S ribosomal RNA". It matches the Rfam family "Bacterial small subunit ribosomal RNA", at positions 328 to 539 of the family's 1533-position model. The record is from RNAcentral.